UCAGUCGGCCGGACGGCCGCUCCUGCUACGGUCGAAAGGCUGCGGGAGAGGAAAGUCCGGGCUCCAUCGACAUACGGUGCCGGAUAACACCCGGCGGGGGCGACCCCAGGGACAGUGCCACAGAGAACGAACCGCCCUCCACAGCAGCGCAAGCUGGGACGGAGGGUAAGGGUGAAAAGGUGCGGUAAGAGCGCACCGCGGGUCCGGCAACGGAAACGGCAUGGCAAACCACACCGGGAGCAAGACCGAAUAGGGACGGCAACGCGGGUUCGUUCGUGCAAGCGAAAACACCGCAGGGCGAUGUCAGGCUCGCCGUCCGGGUAGGUUGCUCGAGGCAACGUGCAAACGUUGUCCCAGAGGAAUGGCCGUCACGUAUCGUCUCGCGAAAGCGGGGCGGUGCCCUACAAAACCCGGCUUACAGGCCGGCUGAUAUC
RNAcentral lists this RNase P RNA (434 nucleotides) under Bradyrhizobium sp. RNAcentral's name for it is "RNase P RNA component class A". It matches the Rfam family "Bacterial RNase P class A". Rfam says of the family: Ribonuclease P (RNase P) is a ubiquitous endoribonuclease, found in archaea, bacteria and eukarya as well as chloroplasts and mitochondria. Its best characterised activity is the generation of mature 5'-ends of tRNAs by cleaving the 5'-leader elements of precursor-tRNAs. Cellular RNase Ps are ribonucleoproteins. Lineage: Bacteria; Pseudomonadati; Pseudomonadota; Alphaproteobacteria; Hyphomicrobiales; Nitrobacteraceae. The record is from RNAcentral.